This 241-nucleotide unclassified non-coding RNA is filed under the name Hevea brasiliensis (rubber tree). Lineage: Eukaryota; Viridiplantae; Streptophyta; Magnoliopsida; Malpighiales; Euphorbiaceae. The record is from RNAcentral.
UCCAAUCAGCUUUUUGUUGCAAUGGGAAGUGUUAAAUUCUGUUCCAGUUUCACACGUGCCUCGCCAGCGCUCUGGCACCGGAGGCAUGUUUCUAUCAUUGAAGCUCUCGCUUUCUGGCCAAAUUCCAGUAUCGAGAACACCAAUGAUAAUGUCAUCGCCAAACUUGCCUUCUGGCCACAAUCCAGAGUGUUUGUUCAGGCCUAGAAAUUUUGGGGUGUGGGUAGUAUGGAGAUGGCCAUAU